UACGUAGGGUGCGAGCGUUAAUCGGAAUUACUGGGCGUAAAGCGUGCGCAGGCGGUUCUGAAAGUCAGCUGUGAAAGCCCCGGGCUUAACCUGGGAAUUGCGGUUGAAACUACAGGGCUAGAAUCUGGCAGAGGGGGGUGGAAUUCCACGUGUAGCAGUGAAAUGCGUAGAGAUGUGGAGGAACACCGAUGGCGAAGGCAGCCCCCUGGGCUGAGAUUGACGCUGAGGCGCGAAAGCCAGGGGAGCAAACGGG
RNAcentral lists this ribosomal RNA (253 nucleotides) under uncultured bacterium. RNAcentral describes it as "partial 16S ribosomal RNA". It matches the Rfam family "Bacterial small subunit ribosomal RNA", at positions 524 to 776 of the family's 1533-position model. The record is from RNAcentral.